UAGGGAAUAUUGGGCAAUGGACGCAAGUCUGACCCAGCCAUGCCGCGUGCAGGAUGACGGCCCUCUGGGUUGUAAACUGCUUUUAUACGGGAAGAAAAGUUGCUACGUGUAGCAAAAUCGACGGUACCGUAAGAAUAAGGAUCGGCUAACUCCGUG
Molecule: ribosomal RNA, 156 nt
Filed under: uncultured bacterium
Lineage: Bacteria
Description: partial 16S ribosomal RNA
Rfam family: Bacterial small subunit ribosomal RNA
Source: RNAcentral